UGGGGAAGAAAGAAUAAAGUGAGUCCUGAUGCUUGCAACUUGACUGGUGUGUGCUGUGUUCAUCCCGACUUCCCUCGCCAGGUUUUGGGCCCAAUUGCUGUGCAGGCGUGGCAAGUGGAGGUGUCACUGAGACCUGGAAAGAGGGGUUUGAAGGACGGGGUCGCUUCUGGGCUAGCAAAUGGAGUGAAUUGGGGAUACGAGUAAUUAAGGUAAGAUGCUGAGUCACCAGUGGGGGUUCCGGAGAGGUGUGUUCGUCCUAUGGAAAUGUCUAUGGCUGAUGGAAAUGCUGCUUCUGAUGUAUCAAGUGAAGCCGGAGACAGUGUAUUGGAGUCUGGUAAAAAAUCCCCCAGUGCUGAUGCCUGUAGGGAUACAUACCCCUAUUUUCCUUCUAUUUGUGCUAGUAAUUGGACUAUGGGCCGUCCGUCAGCUUGUAUACCUAUGGAUAAAACUUUAAUGUUUCUAUUCCAUCUCAUCCUGACUUUUGAGGAGCCUAUUAAAGUCAAUUAUUCUUCUGGGAAAAAUUUUAGCAUUUCCUCCUUUCCCUGUUUAUACUGGGGCAGGAGGGGGUGCUUUAUUAAAAUUGUUCUGUUCAGAAUUGCAGCCUUAGCAGUUGCUGGCUUGAUGAAGAUAAUGUGUUAGUUAUGAAGAAUUCCUGCUGCCAUUCCAAUGCCAAUGGAAGCAUGUUCCCAGUUUCCUGUCCAGUUGCAUAGAACAAAGAGAGGUUUUGGAAUCACUGCCGCCAUUGUUACUGCCAUUGCUGUUUCUGCUGUUGCUGCUGCUACUGCAGGAAUUGCCCUUUCUCAAAAUACCCAGCAAGCUGAUGUGGUGAAAAGAGUCUCUAAUGCUUUGGACAUUCAAAAUCAGAUAAAUGGACAUGUACAUUCUGGACUGCCAACACUUAAUCAACAGAUGGUGUUGGUACAAGAACAAUUAGAUUUGUUAUGAACUCAACAACAUUCGACCUGCGCUCAGAUGUACAUAUCUAUGUGUGUGACCCUCGGGAGGGUUGUUGAUGACUCUCAUGAAGUUUGGAGGCUGAGUGGGUAUGUUUCAGGGUCCUUGGGUAUGAUAUUUGUGGAUUUUACUGUGCAGCUUUUUCAUGCCAUACAGGCCAUUGAUGAUGCUGGAGUUGUUCUAAUUUCAGAUAUUGGAUGGUGGGAUUGGGUGGCCCAGGUUGGAGGCUGGUUUCAAAAAUGGUCAGGAUCACUUGCUAUGGCAAUCCUAGGAUGUCUUGGAAUUGGGGUAUGCUUCUGGGCCCUCUGCCAACUUAAAAUGCAAUUCACCAUUCAUGCAGGUGUCACCCAACAAGCCCUGCUAGCUGUCUCAGCACACACUGAAUCCACUCAGAAGCUUGAUAAACAGUAACCAGAGACGGGGAACUUCCUAGGAUAGCAUGGGCGCCUAAGACAGGAAGUAUGGAGGGCACUUUCCUAUGACGGGUAAGUUCAUGCUACCGGGUCGACCUAAGACAGGUGCCGCUUAAAUAAAUAAAAAGGGAGAUGUUGGGAUCAGAAUGGCUCUGACCCCUCUAAGAUUGCCCCCACCUCCCCUGUUCUGAGUGCGCUGUUCUGCAGAUGUUUUGCUGUUUGGUAUAUCUCUUGGUUUGGCAGCUGUGGCUUCCUGGGGCAUGCUGACCGUUCCUUGACCCUGCGUGCUUGAUAAACAAUUUUGUUUGUUUCCUCCUGGAAGGGUAUAUAAGAUGGGGAAGAAAGAAUAAAGAAAGUCCUGAUGCUUGCAACUUGA
This is a non-coding RNA of Peromyscus maniculatus bairdii (prairie deer mouse), 1743 nucleotides long. NCBI's taxonomy places the organism in Eukaryota, Metazoa, Chordata, Mammalia, Rodentia, Cricetidae. The record is from RefSeq and is a predicted model, not a curated record.